This is a long non-coding RNA of Sapajus apella (tufted capuchin), 185 nucleotides long. RefSeq lists it as uncharacterized. The transcript is spliced from 3 exons. Lineage: Eukaryota; Metazoa; Chordata; Mammalia; Primates; Cebidae. The record is from RefSeq and is a predicted model, not a curated record.
CAUGCCUGCUAACAAAACAUUCAUUCUGUAGCCCACAGAUCAAGGAGUAAUUUUGACUUUCAAGUCUGACUAUGUAAGAAAAAUAUUUAAUAAGGUUAUAGUUGCCAUGGAUAGUGAUUCCUCUGUUGGAUCUGGGCAAAGUCCAUUAAAAACCUUCUGAAAAGAAUUCACCUGUCUAGAUGCCA